RNAcentral lists this ribosomal RNA (470 nucleotides) under uncultured bacterium. RNAcentral's name for it is "bacterial SSU rRNA". It matches the Rfam family "Bacterial small subunit ribosomal RNA", at positions 8 to 526 of the family's 1533-position model. The record is from RNAcentral.
AGAGUUUGAUCAUGGCUCAGAGCGAACGCUGGCGGCAGGCCUAACACAUGCAAGUCGAGCGCCCAGCAAUGGGAGCGGCAGACGGGAUAGUAACACGUGGGAACGUACCCUUCAGUUCGGAACAACCCAGGGAAACUUGGGCUAAUACCGAAUACGUCCGUAAGGAGAAAGAUUUAUCGCUGAAGGAUCGGCCCGCGUCUGAUUAGCUAGUUGGUGAGGUAAUGGCUCACCAAGGCGACGAUCAGUAGCUGGUCUGAGAGGAUGAUCAGCAUCACUGGGACUGAGACACGGCCCAGACUCCUACGGGAGGCAGCAGUGGGGAAUAUUGGACAAUGGGCGCAAGCCUGAUCCAGCCAUGCCGCGUGAGUGAUGAAGGCCCUAGGGUUGUAAAGCUCUUUCGCACGCGACGAUAAUGACGGUAGCGUGAGAAGAAGCCCCGGCUAACUUCGUGCCAGCAGCGGCGGUAAUUC